Eriocheir sinensis (Chinese mitten crab) is the source of this 669-nucleotide long non-coding RNA. RefSeq lists it as uncharacterized. The record is from RefSeq and is a predicted model, not a curated record. The transcript is spliced from 3 exons. NCBI's taxonomy places the organism in Eukaryota, Metazoa, Arthropoda, Malacostraca, Decapoda, Varunidae.
GCGGCGACGGCUCCCUCACGCCUGGCGCCGGAAAGAUGCUUGCUGCUGUCUGCUGUGACUCUGGCGGCGGUGAUGACGCAGGAGGCCUCUGGUGCCGAGACACGGGCGUUCAGAGCGGCCAAGACUGCGGCCCAGCACCACCCCCGGCCCGGCCAGGCAUUCAUCGAGGCCAACUGUACCCGACACUUGUGCCCUAAUGUAACGCACGGUGCCCGACCUUAAGACCCCUAACUACUAACGACGCCUCCGAGCGAGCCCUCCCCCUCCUUUAUAUUCAACCAAAUGAAACCUAACUUAAUCCUCUGAGACGUCCACUCCCAUACGUAGGGCUAAUUAGGACAGGUGAACUCCUCAGGCAGCUCAACACAGUGUCCAUCAACAGCUCCAAGGAAUGGUGGGACAUCCGGCACAGCAAGGAUGGGCUGGCGGAGGAGGAGCUGUCCGUGAGUGGCUGCAGAGUGGUGUGGUCCCGAGGUCAGGCUGGCCGAGUGGGGUCCCGGCAGGUUGCCAGACCAGACUGAUAGACUUUUUUAUUACAAGGGCAAAAACAAAGACAACAGCAACACACUGCUCCCAACAAAGGUGUAAAGAACGGGAGGCCAAGAGCUGUGUGGCCUCCAAUCACCACCCGCCGAGGGAAUUUUUUUUUUUUUUUUUUUUUUUUUUUUU